This 560-nucleotide ribosomal RNA is filed under the name Russula aurata. RNAcentral's name for it is "partial 12S small subunit ribosomal RNA". It matches the Rfam family "Bacterial small subunit ribosomal RNA", at positions 359 to 952 of the family's 1533-position model. The record is from RNAcentral. Lineage: Eukaryota; Fungi; Basidiomycota; Agaricomycetes; Russulales; Russulaceae.
GAAUAUUAGUCAAUGCUCGAAAGAGUGAACUAGCUAACUGAAAUCAAUUAAAAAUAAAUUGAUAACAUAAGGGAAAAUAAUGAUAUUACCUUAUUAUUAGUGUCGUCCAAAACUGGUGCCAGAAGACUCGGUAAGGCCAGAGACAUAAACGUUAAUCGUCUUAAUCAGGCGUAAAGGGUUUGUAGGCGGCUUUAAAAUUUACUUAAUUAAAAAAAUAAAAAAAAAGAAGUAAAAAAUAAAAGCUAGAAUCAAAUAGAGGAUAUAUUAAAGAAUGCUUAGAGUAGGUCUGAUAUCUUUAGAUACUAAGUAGAAUAUUAAUGGCGAAAGCUUUUUUCCAUUAAUGAUUGACGCUCAGAAACGAAGGUGAGGAUAGGAAAUAGGAUUAGAUACCCAAAAUACCCCUCUCUGUCAACGAUGAAUGGUAGUUAUUAGUAAAGUAAUUUUUAUUAAUGACAAUGUUAACACGAUAACCAUUCCGCCUUGUGAGUACAAUUGCAAAGUUGAAAACAAAAAAAUUAGUCGGUUUCGGAGCAAACGAAGUGAAGCAUGUUAUUUAAUUC